RNAcentral lists this ribosomal RNA (2758 nucleotides) under Klebsiella pneumoniae. RNAcentral describes it as "partial 23S ribosomal RNA". It matches the Rfam family "Bacterial large subunit ribosomal RNA". The record is from RNAcentral. Lineage: Bacteria; Pseudomonadati; Pseudomonadota; Gammaproteobacteria; Enterobacterales; Enterobacteriaceae.
CACUAUCGUUAACUGAAUACAUAGGUUAACGAGGCGAACCGGGGGAACUGAAACAUCUAAGUACCCCGAGGAAAAGAAAUCAACCGAGAUUCCCCCAGUAGCGGCGAGCGAACGGGGAGCAGCCCAGAGUCUGAAUCAGCUUGUGUGUUAGUGGAACGGUCUGGAAAGUCCGACGGUACAGGGUGAUAGUCCCGUACACCAAAAUGCACAGGCUGUGAACUCGAAGAGUAGGGCGGGACACGUGGUAUCCUGUCUGAAUAUGGGGGGACCAUCCUCCAAGGCUAAAUACUCCUGACUGACCGAUAGUGAACCAGUACCGUGAGGGAAAGGCGAAAAGAACCCCGGCGAGGGGAGUGAAAAAGAACCUGAAACCGUGUACGUACAAGCAGUGGGAGCACCUUCGGGUGUGACUGCGUACCUUUUGUAUAAUGGGUCAGCGACUUAUAUUCUGUAGCAAGGUUAACCGUAUAGGGGAGCCGCAGGGAAACCGAGUCUUAACUGGGCGUUAAGUUGCAGGGUAUAGACCCGAAACCCGGUGAUCUAGCCAUGGGCAGGUUGAAGGUUGGGUAACACUAACUGGAGGACCGAACCGACUAAUGUUGAAAAAUUAGCGGAUGACUUGUGGCUGGGGGUGAAAGGCCAAUCAAACCGGGAGAUAGCUGGUUCUCCCCGAAAGCUAUUUAGGUAGCGCCUCGUGAACUCAUCUUCGGGGGUAGAGCACUGUUUCGGCUAGGGGGUCAUCCCGACUUACCAACCCGAUGCAAACUACGAAUACCGAAGAAUGUUAUCACGGGAGACACACGGCGGGUGCUAACGUCCGUCGUGAAGAGGGAAACAACCCAGACCGCCAGCUAAGGUCCCAAAGUCAUGGUUAAGUGGGAAACGAUGUGGGAAGGCACAGACAGCCAGGAUGUUGGCUUAGAAGCAGCCAUCAUUUAAAGAAAGCGUAAUAGCUCACUGGUCGAGUCGGCCUGCGCGGAAGAUGUAACGGGGCUAAACCAUGCACCGAAGCUGCGGCAGCGACACUAUGUGUUGUUGGGUAGGGGAGCGUUCUGUAAGCCUGCGAAGGUGUGCUGUGAGGCAUGCUGGAGGUAUCAGAAGUGCGAAUGCUGACAUAAGUAACGAUAAAGCGGGUGAAAAGCCCGCUCGCCGGAAGACCAAGGGUUCCUGUCCAACGUUAAUCGGGGCAGGGUGAGUCGACCCCUAAGGCGAGGCCGAAAGGCGUAGUCGAUGGGAAACAGGUUAAUAUUCCUGUACUUGGUGUUACUGCGAAGGGGGGACGGAGAAGGCUAUGUUAGCCGGGCGACGGUUGUCCCGGUUUAAGCAUGUAGGCUGGUUAUCCAGGCAAAUCCGGAUAAUCAAGGCUGAGGUGUGAUGACGAGGCACUACGGUGCUGAAGUAACAAAUGCCCUGCUUCCAGGAAAAGCCUCUAAGCAUCAGGUAACAUCAAAUCGUACCCCAAACCGACACAGGUGGUCAGGUAGAGAAUACCAAGGCGCUUGAGAGAACUCGGGUGAAGGAACUAGGCAAAAUGGUGCCGUAACUUCGGGAGAAGGCACGCUGGUGUGUAGGUGAAGCCCCUGCGGGUGGAGCUGAGACCAGUCGAAGAUACCAGCUGGCUGCAACUGUUUAUUAAAAACACAGCACUGUGCAAACACGAAAGUGGACGUAUACGGUGUGACGCCUGCCCGGUGCCGGAAGGUUAAUUGAUGGGGUUAUCCGUAAGGAGAAGCUCUUGAUCGAAGCCCCGGUAAACGGCGGCCGUAACUAUAACGGUCCUAAGGUAGCGAAAUUCCUUGUCGGGUAAGUUCCGACCUGCACGAAUGGCGUAAUGAUGGCCAGGCUGUCUCCACCCGAGACUCAGUGAAAUUGAACUCGCUGUGAAGAUGCAGUGUACCCGCGGCAAGACGGAAAGACCCCGUGAACCUUUACUAUAGCUUGACACUGAACAUUGAGCCUUGAUGUGUAGGAUAGGUGGGAGGCUUUGAAGCGUGGACGCCAGUCUGCGUGGAGCCAACCUUGAAAUACCACCCUUUAAUGUUUGAUGUUCUAACGUUGGCCCCUUACCGGGGUUGCGGACAGUGUCUGGUGGGUAGUUUGACUGGGGCGGUCUCCUCCCAAAGCGUAACGGAGGAGCACGAAGGUUAGCUAAUCCUGGUCGGACAUCAGGAGGUUAGUGCAAUGGCAUAAGCUAGCUUGACUGCGAGCGUGACGGCGCGAGCAGGUGCGAAAGCAGGUCAUAGUGAUCCGGUGGUUCUGAAUGGAAGGGCCAUCGCUCAACGGAUAAAAGGUACUCCGGGGAUAACAGGCUGAUACCGCCCAAGAGUUCAUAUCGACGGCGGUGUUUGGCACCUCGAUGUCGGCUCAUCACAUCCUGGGGCUGAAGUAGGUCCCAAGGGUAUGGCUGUUCGCCAUUUAAAGUGGUACGCGAGCUGGGUUUAGAACGUCGUGAGACAGUUCGGUCCCUAUCUGCCGUGGGCGCUGGAGAAUUGAGGGGGGCUGCUCCUAGUACGAGAGGACCGGAGUGGACGCAUCACUGGUGUUCGGGUUGUCAUGCCAAUGGCACUGCCCGGUAGCUAAAUGCGGAAGAGAUAAGUGCUGAAAGCAUCUAAGCACGAAACUUGCCCCGAGAUGAGUUCUCCCUGAGACUUUAAGUCUCCUGAAGGAACGUUGAAGACGACGACGUUGAUAGGCCGGGUGUGUAAGCGCAGCGAUGCGUUGAGCUAACCGGUACUAAUGAACCGUGAGGCUUAACCUU